Molecule: ribosomal RNA, 496 nt
Filed under: uncultured bacterium
Lineage: Bacteria
Description: partial 16S ribosomal RNA
Rfam family: Bacterial small subunit ribosomal RNA
Source: RNAcentral
GACGAACGCUGGCGGCGUGCCUAAUACAUGCAAGUUGAGCGCUGAAGGUUGGUACUUGUACCCACUGGAUGAGCAGCGAACGGGUGAGUAACGCGUGGGGAAUCUGCCUUUGAGCGGGGGACAACAUUUGGAAACGAAUGCUAAUACCGCAUAAAAACUUUAAACACAAGUUUUAAGUUUGAAAGAUGCAAUUGCAUCACUCAAAGAUGAUCCCGCGUUGUAUUAGCUAGUUGGUGAGGUAAAGGCUCGCCAAGGCGAUGAUACAUAGCCGACCUGAGAGGGUGAUCGGCCACAUUGGGACUGAGACACGGCCCAAACUCCUACGGGAGGCAGCAGCAGGGAAUCUUCGGCAAUGGACGAAAGUCUGACCGAGCAACGCCGCGUGAGUGAAGAAGGUUUUCGGAUCGUAAAGCUCUGUUGGUAGAGAAGAACGUUGGUGAGAGUGGAAAGCUCAUCAAGGGACGGUAACUACCCAGAAAGGGACGGCUAACUACGU